Molecule: ribosomal RNA, 499 nt
Filed under: uncultured bacterium
Lineage: Bacteria
Description: partial 16S ribosomal RNA
Rfam family: Bacterial small subunit ribosomal RNA
Source: RNAcentral
ACGAACGCUGGCGGCGUGCUUAACACAUGCCAGUCGAACGGGUCUGCCCUGUUUUUUGCGGGGUGGGUCAGUGGCGAACGGGUGAGUAACACGUGAGUAACCUGCCCCUCACUUCUGGAUAACCGCUUGAAAGGGUGGCUAAUACGGGGUGUUCUGGCUGUGCCGCAUGGUGUGGCUGGGAAAGAUUCACUUUUGUGGUGUUUUGGUGGGGGAUGGGCUCGCGGCCUAUCAGCUUGUUGGUGGGGUGAUGGCCUGCCAAGGCUUUGACGGGUAGCCGGCCUGGGAGGGUGGGCGGUCACACUGGGACUGAGAUACGGCCCAGACUCCUGCGGGAGGCAGCAGUGGGGGGUAUUGCACAAUGGGCGGAAGCCUGAUGCAGCGACGUCGCGUGAGGGAUGGAGGCCUUCGGGUUGUGAACCUCUUUCGCCGGUGAAGAAGGUCCUGCUCUUUGUGGUGGGGUUGACGGUAGCCGGGUUAUGAAGCGCCGGCUAACUACGUG